GAUGAACGCUGGCGGCGUGCUUAACACAUGCAAGUCGAACGGAAAGGCCAGUGCUUGCACUGGUACUCGAGUGGCGAACGGGUGAGUAACACGUGGGUGAUCUGCCCUGCACUUCGGGAUAAGCCUGGGAAACUGGGUCUAAUACCGGAUAGGACAAUGGUUUGGAUGCCGUUGUGGAAAGUUUUUUCGGUGUGGGAUGAGCUCGCGGCCUAUCAGCUUGUUGGUGGGGUAAUGGCCUACCAAGGCGUCGACGGGUAGCCGGCCUGAGAGGGUGUACGGCCACAUUGGGACUGAGAUACGGCCCAGACUCCUACGGGAGGCAGCAGUGGGGAAUAUUGCACAAUGGGCGCAAGCCUGAUGCAGCGACGCCGCGUGGGGGAUGACGGCCUUCGGGCUGUAAACUCCUUUCGCUAGGGACGAAGCGUAUUUGUGACGGUACCUGGAGAAGAAGCACCGGCUAACUACGUG
This 468-nucleotide ribosomal RNA is filed under the name uncultured bacterium. RNAcentral's name for it is "partial 16S ribosomal RNA". It matches the Rfam family "Bacterial small subunit ribosomal RNA", at positions 28 to 507 of the family's 1533-position model. The record is from RNAcentral.